CAUAUCAUUUCCUCUCUUGAGAGCAUCCUCCUCUUCUCCUCGGGUGCUCUGUUUGGCGUGCGACGAAUCCUGCACCACCACCGCCAAAGCCAAGGGAAGUGUUAUUUACAUAGCUGAAAAACAAUGCAUGAUACGGUUAUAUAGACAUCUCUAGGAAAAUAAUGAAUUGCACAUGUAGAUGGAGACUAAAACGAAGAAGGCAUUAAGAAUCAAGACGAAGGUCUGGUCAUAGUAUCUAUACUCAGCCAAGAGUCUCAAAUGAAGUACCAGCCAUGACAUAGUUAAGUUUCAGUUAAAAUAUCACGUAAGAACUUCUCAACUGAACUUAAAAGAACAUACUGAGACUCACCAUUUGACACCCACUGAGAAGGUUCUCAUAUAGAUGGAUCCACGAGACAAGCUUACGAUGGGUUAGACCAAAAACAGGAAACAUUUUCCUGUCAAAGGUAUUUCAGAAUUAACGGGAGGAAAACACAGAAAAAUUACUGCCUCUUGUCUUGUCAUAAUUACAACUAUUCUACUAUCAUCAAACGGUGGACGGCCAGCCCUCCCACACAUCUAUGAAUGACUAAAAGAAGAGCCUCUGUCAGAAGCAAGGGCAUUAUCACAUACCAUUGUUUCCUAUCUGAAUUACAAAACAUAAAAUUUUAACUAAACGUAAUAAUGUAUUACAGGAUAACCAAAUCAACUUGUAUGCAUGAAAAAGAAUUUAGCGUAUCCAAUCAUUUGCGGCAACAAGACCAACUUAUAUUAUUCAAAGGAAAGUCAACAUAUAAUAAUACGGAUAUCAGCAAGGACUGCGCUAAAUUUAUUAACCUGUGUUUUAAAUUUAUAUUCAUUUGUUAAUCAGGUAAACAAGUAAAAACACCUUGAGCAACAGGCAUAUCAAUAAGGUGAAAGAAGUCCAAAUAACCCCCUGGUGUUUCACAAACCGGCCACUUUACCCCCUGAGGUCAAAAACCAGGUAUCUAACCCCCUGAGCUUUCCUAAACCGUCUAAAUCGCCCCUAGCCCUGCUUAAAGUGGUUUUUUAGAGCGGUUUUGGUGACGGGGCAAUGUGCACCUCAUUCCUGAUCUGCAUCCGGCUUCGUGGAUUCUCCUCCGAGCACACAAGUCAGUGUCGUGGCACUCCGGAAGCAUCACGUCGAUGCAUGGCAUCAGCACGUAGCUCGUAGAACUCAAGCUCCCCGGAUACAAUCAGAUACAGUACACAUAAAGACCUGAUGGAUCGGUUCCCUCCUGCACAAGCAUGCACGUACACACAAGAAGAUGUGCGAUCAUGUCUGCGCUGGAUAGGACUAACCUAAUUGUGAUUAGCUCUGACAAUGGACGUCGUCAAAUGCCGGCGGCAGCCGCAGGUGGCACCGGCGUGAGCUUGAUGAGUUGUUGUCGGCAGAGGAAGAAGCGGACGUGGCCACGGAGAGUGUUGCCAGGGAGACUACGGCGCACGGGGGAUGCGAUGGAAAGCGAGAUUGCAAGCAAGCCAGAACACAGCCGACUACUGGCUGGUGCUGCUUCCGACCAGUACCUCACCGCCGCGUUGUUGGCACGGGACCUAAGUGCCAGGGUGCAGGUCAAGCGGCGUGAAGGUCAACGACCUGAGGAUGUGAGGGAAGAGAUGAACCGUGCAGACGUGGUACUCACAACCAUGCCACGUCACCAAAACCAUCCUCAAAAACCACUCUAGGGGGCGAUUCAAAUGGUUUAGGAAAGUUCAGGGGGUUAAAUACCUGGUUUUAGACUUCAGGGGGUAAAGUGACCAGUUUGUGAAACCCCAGGGGUUAUUUGGACUUCUUUCCAAUAACGUUGGAAGGGAAAAAAUACACAACAAACUGCUUGGCGGUGCAUAUCCUUUGUUUAUUAAGAUGCUAUUUUGCAGGAGCAACUGAGACUUAAUAGCACACCUUCAGCACCAUGGAUGUUGCAUAUUCUACAUAAGAUCCCUCCUCUUCGUUGCUACAAAAUGUAUGAAAAGCAAAAAAUAUCAUAAAAGAGAACAGAGGGCAGGUAGAAUGCUGUCAUAUUAAAAAAAUAGGUUCUCAGAAAAAUUAUGUCGACCUUAUCACUACUGUAUGUGCAGGUAAGGAAGUAACUUGAGUUGUGACCUAUGAGCAAGUAUAUAUCUCAAUAGCAGGUGAAAUAAAGUCAACCUCUGAAGAUUCUUACCAUAUGUAUCUCGGCUAGAUGUCUUUGCUUCGAGCAAAUCUUUCAGUCCUUUCAUCGCCGUCACAACUUCUUCAGCUUUUCACUGUAAAACCUACGUGGAGCAGGGUAGCAUAACUAAGAAACAAGAAAACUAACAAUCUUCUGUUUCUGAUUCAAAGACGGGAGUUUAUGCAUCUCAAAAUUCUUUCCAUUUGCAUCCCUUCUUCAGCCAUACGGUUGCCGGAGCGCAGCCCCUGCCAUCAACCAACUCCGGUUGGACCAGCCUGCAAAAGCCCAUGCGCUAGGAUUACAGCCAUGACAACUAAAGACCACAAUGAUCAUCACUUCUAAACACCUGACAUGGUGUGAGAAUUUAGGAGCGGAUAGCACGCAGGCAUGAACCACAGUUGUAUAGAUGACUGAGAGGGUGGUCAGGGACGACAGACUUGCUAACGGCUAGGAGCAACAACCAGUUAAUUGUAGAUAAGAAAAUAGUUAACCUUUGAAGAAAAUUAUGAAAAAAUUGCAGUGUCAUGCACAGCCAGCAACAAUAAAUAGCUAACUAAGAAUUCAUGGAAGACUUAUCCUACGCUAAACUAAAAGCUAGUUAGAACUAUAAACAUGCAAGCUCUCACAUUAAUUCGAACUGCUAACCUCAAAUAUGAGAUCCUGAAGAAUGAAUGCCGUAUGGUGAUGACUGCCAAUAUGGUAAAUACAUGUAUUUGUUAAGGUACCUAUAAACUAAAGGCAAGAAAACUGACAAUUUUGAGAUCAGGGAACCCAUUCUGAGUAGGCCUUGUACCAAAUCAAAUGAACAAACAAAAAUUAUGCAGGGGAAUGGAUCUGUGGUUGCCGGAUUCGCCACCCAUCAUCUGCAGGUUACAGAGAGUACCAAGAAUCUGUGUGAGUGUGUGGCAGUCACCACCACAUUGGCACACCAUUAGUCACGGUCCAAGCGUACAGUUUGAUCUGCUCAGCCUCGCCACCGCAAACACCCAACACAACCAUUAGAACUCUACAAUCCUUGCAGUUAUUUUAAAUCCUAAGAAUGCAAGAAACUUACCAAAACAACAGAUUGAUUAAAAUGCUUCACCCAUGGUCUUGGACUCUGGUGUCAACAUACUCCUCAAUUGACUUCCUCUGUCAGACAAACCUGGAACAGACAAACUAUAUCGCUAUGAAUUAACAUGAUUGAGGCAAGCACUGAGCAGAGGAGAGAAAAAAUAUCUGAAAGAAACUGCUACCAUCUUUUGCUUGUUCUCGCAAAGAAUUCAAUCCAUAGUAUGCCAAGAAGCUAUGAAAAAUUUGCAAUUGCUUCAAAGAAUAUAAUACAUUGCAGAAAUAAAAUACUCUAUUAGAGAGAUGGCAGGCGAGGUAGUAGGGACAAGAGCAAGAACUAACUUUGAGAGGAGAUGGGCAGACUCUUGCGUCGUGCCCUGGCUGACCCCUACGCUUACGCCAUGCCUCAUUUAUCUAUUCCUCAUUCCUCCGUG
This 3637-nucleotide long non-coding RNA is filed under the name Triticum aestivum (bread wheat). RNAcentral's name for it is "long non-coding RNA (TAES_LNC004935)". The record is from RNAcentral. Lineage: Eukaryota; Viridiplantae; Streptophyta; Magnoliopsida; Poales; Poaceae.